AAAUUGAAGAGUUUGAUCAUGGCUCAGAUUGAACGCUGGCGGCAGGCCUAACACAUGCAAGUCGAGCGGUAGCACAGAGAGCUUGCUCUCGGGUGACGAGCGGCGGACGGGUGAGUAAUGUCUGGGAAACUGCCUGAUGGAGGGGGAUAACUACUGGAAACGGUAGCUAAUACCGCAUAANNGUCGCAAGACCAAAGUGGGGGACCUUCGGGCCUCAUGCCAUCAGAUGUGCCCAGAUGGGAUUAGCUAGUAGGUGGGGUAACGGCUCACCUAGGCGACGAUCCCUAGCUGGUCUGAGAGGAUGACCAGCCACACUGGAACUGAGACACGGUCCAGACUCCUACGGGAGGCAGCAGUGGGGAAUAUUGCACAAUGGGCGCAAGCCUGAUGCAGCCAUGCCGCGUGUGUGAAGAAGGCCUUCGGGUUGUAAAGCACUUUCAGCGGGGAGGAAGGCGUUAAGGUUAAUAACCUCAUCGAUUG
RNAcentral lists this ribosomal RNA (480 nucleotides) under Klebsiella pneumoniae. RNAcentral describes it as "bacterial SSU rRNA". It matches the Rfam family "Bacterial small subunit ribosomal RNA", at positions 1 to 478 of the family's 1533-position model. The record is from RNAcentral. Lineage: Bacteria; Pseudomonadati; Pseudomonadota; Gammaproteobacteria; Enterobacterales; Enterobacteriaceae.